AUGCAGUCGAACGAAGUAGCAAUACUUAGUGGCAGACGGGUGAGUAACAUGUAGGUAUCUACCCUUUGGCCUGGAAUAACACGAGGAAACUUGUGCUAAUACCGGAUAAGUCUUUACGGAGAAAGCUUUAUGCACCAUUGGAUGAGCCUGCACUAGAUUAGUUUGUUGGUGGGGUAAUGGCCUACCAAGACUGUGAUCUAUAGCUGAUUUGAGAGGAUGAUCAGCCACAUUGGGACUGAGACACGGCCCAAACUCCUACGGGAGGCAGCAGUAGGGAAUAUUGCACAAUGGAGGAAACUCUGAUGCAGCGAUGCCGCGUGAGUGAAGAAGGCCUUUGGGUUGUAAAGCUCUUUCGUCGGGGAAGAAAAUGACUGUACCCGAAUAAGAAGGUCCGGCUAACUUCGUGCCAGCAGCCGCGGUAAUACGAAGGGACCUAGCGUAGUUCGGAAUUACUGGGCUUAAAGAGUUCGUAGGUGGUUAAAAAAGUUGGUGGUGAAAUCCCAGAGCUUAACUCUGGAACUGCCAUCAAAACUUUUUAGCUAGAGUAUGAUAGAGGAAAGCAGAAUUUCUAGUGUAGAGGUGAAAUUCGUAGAUAUUAGAAAGAAUACCAAUUGCGAAGGCAGCUUUCUGGAUCAUUACUGACACUGAGGAACGAAAGCAUGGGUAGCGAAGAGGAUUAGAUACCCUCGUAGUCCAUGCCGUAAACGAUGUGUGUUAGACGUUGGAAAUUUAUUUUCAGUGUCGCAGCGAAAGCAAUAAACACACCGCCUGGGGAGUACGACCGCAAGGUUAAAACUCAAAUGAAUUGACGGGGACCCGCACAAGUAGUGGAGCAUGUGGUUUAAUUCGAAGAUACGCGCAGAACCUUACCAACACUUGACAUGUUCGUCGCGACUCUAGAGAUUAGAGUUUUCGGUUCGGCCGGACGAAACACAGGUGCUGCAUGGCUGUCGUCAGCUCGUGUCG
This 966-nucleotide ribosomal RNA is filed under the name uncultured bacterium. Its description in RNAcentral is "bacterial SSU rRNA". It matches the Rfam family "Bacterial small subunit ribosomal RNA", at positions 55 to 1067 of the family's 1533-position model. The record is from RNAcentral.